UUUGUCCGAUUGCGAACGUGUUUGUUUACAUUUCGGUGAAAAGUUGGUUGCAGGAGAGACCCAGAGACCCGGCACUGCUGUCUCCUGAAGACUAUUACUCUGCGUUACUCUGGGAUUGAGGAUGAAUUUGUAAGCCAGAGAAGUGCCAGUUAGUAAGAGGAGAGACAACUGUGUAACAUGGAGGGAAAUUCAGAAUCCCAAGACCUGUUGGUGCAGCAGGAACCAUCAGGUGGCAAUGUGAAUGAGGCUUCUGAUGUGUCAGAUGAUUGCCACGACAGUAGUGAACAGCUUUCCCUUAGCCCAGCUGGAUCUCCAAGUGAAGCCCCGCCGUCCUAUACGCCUGAGCCACAAGUGCCUGAUAUCCCCUCAUCAUCCGUCACACAUGAUGCCGCCAUCGACAACUGUACAUACAACGAUACCCCAGAAAGAGAAUACUGUGAUACCAACAAUGAAGUAGGAGACAGUUAUGGUGAUGGAGAAUGUGCCACAACCACCAAUUAUGGUUCGCGUGUGGGACAUAGUCGUGGUGCUAGCCAAGUUUCUUCUUGUGAGCCCUCAGUUUGCCGUAUGUCAGGUCGAGAUCUGUGCCACAGCCGAGGAGCCAGUACAGAUGGGUCAACUAUGGAGGCUUAUCCUUAUUCUGCUUCUGAAAGCCGGCGUGGCACGUAUAGCGAAGCAGGAACAUUGCCUAUUGGCUCAACAAUCAUUGAAGAAAAUAUGCAAGGCUGGGAUCGGGAAUCUGAGAAAAAGCUAUCGGAUAGUGAAGAAGUAGGAACGACUUACUCAAGAAAGCUGGUAUCCUUCUGUGAUUGCUGUCAGUCCAUUCUGCGCAGCCAACAUGAACUUAGAGAACAUCCAACAGCAUUGGAAUUGAUAAAAUAUGCCUUCACUUGCCCACCACAUGGAAAGGUCGGGAAUUGCCUGCUGUGGCUGUUAAUUGGCUUUGCCUUCUGGGGCUGCCUCAUCUCCAUCACUGGCGAAGAGGCUCUUCCAGGGGGCAACUUUUUCAGCCUCAUCGUCUUGUAUGUGUUUGCCAUGCUGGCUGGCGAAGCUGUUAAACAUUUGGGCCUUCCCUCUUUGCUGGGGAGUCUCGUGGUGGGCAUACUGUUCAGCAGUAUACCUGGCAUGGAUGUUAUUGGGAGUAAUAUAGAUCAUUCAUGGUCUGCUGCCUUGAGAAAAAUUGCUCUGGUGAUCAUUUUGAUAAGGGCUGGGCUUGGGUUGGAUCCAGUUGCCUUAAGAAAGCUCAGCUGCAUAGUUCUGAGACUGGCUUUCAUGCCCUGUAUGGUUGAGGCCUUGACUAUGGGUAUUGUUUCUAAGUUUUUACUUGACCUUCCAUGGAGCUGGAGUUUAAUGCUGGGUUUUGUUGUGGCUGCAGUGUCUCCAGCUGUAGUUGUGCCAUGCUUGCUGAAACUGGGCGAGGAUGGAUAUGGUGUAGAACAAGGGAUUCCAACACUUGUUAUUGCAGCAGCUAGUCUGGAUGAUGUGCUGGCUAUAACAGGUUUCAGUGUUAUGAUGGGAUUAACAUUUGCAAAGGGGUCAACAACAUGGACAGUGUUCAAAGGGCCAUUUGAAAUAUUCACAGGAAUAGUAUAUGGCAUUGUCUUUGGUAUUGUGUGUUGGUAUCUGCCAUACAGAGAAAAGAAGAAUAGGGCAAUAUACAAGCUCUUAUUGCUCUUUGGUCUUGGAGGUCUAGCCAUGUUUGGGAGUCACAAGGUUGGCCUUGAGAGCUCAGGAGCGAUUGCAGUGUUGACAGUGGCCUUUGUUGCUGGUUUAGGUUGGCGUAAACCAGGAAAUGAGGAUGCUGCUGUUGGUAAAUACUACCGCUUCUUAUGGGAGAUCUUCCAGCCAAUGCUUUUUUGCUUGAUUGGUGCAGAGAUUAAUGUCAUGGCCAUAGAGCCAAGCACUGUGGGAUGGGGUCUACUUGCGCUGGUGAUAGGACUGACCCUAAGAGUUGCUACCUCAUUCGUUGUUGUGAUGGGCGCCUCAUUUACUGUGUGGGAGAGAUUGUUUAUUGCUAUUGCUUGGCUUCCAAAGGCCACUGUGCAGGCUGCCAUAGGGUCUUUAGCCUUAGAUCACAUCCAGCAGUCUGGUAGCGAACCUGACCCUGAGGAUGUUACACGCGGGGUGAAGGGUUUCAUGUGGAGCUAUUUAUGUUGCUGAGAGGCUUCCAGAACUGCUUGGGUUGCCAGAUAUACUUGUUGAAAACAGAUAUUUGUUGCAGAGAUGAUCACUUCUGUUUGGUUUGUAGAGGUUGUUACUAUUGCAGUAAUGGUGAUUUUGGUGACAGCUCCUCUAGGGGCAGCUGCAAUCAAGCUAACAGGGCCCAAGUUCCUCGCUAGAAAACCCUCUUCCAACUCGCCGCAGGACUCAGAGACUACAGUUUAGGC
This 2387-nucleotide unclassified non-coding RNA is filed under the name Penaeus japonicus. RNAcentral's name for it is "sodium/hydrogen exchanger 9B2-like, transcript variant X3". The record is from RNAcentral. Lineage: Eukaryota; Metazoa; Arthropoda; Malacostraca; Decapoda; Penaeidae.